This 467-nucleotide ribosomal RNA is filed under the name uncultured bacterium. RNAcentral's name for it is "partial 16S ribosomal RNA". It matches the Rfam family "Bacterial small subunit ribosomal RNA", at positions 28 to 507 of the family's 1533-position model. The record is from RNAcentral.
GACGAACGCUGGCGGCGUGCUUAACACAUGCAAGUCGAACGGAAAGGCCUCUUUCGGGGGGUACUCGAGUGGCGAACGGGUGAGUAACACGUGAGUAACCUGCCCUUGACUUUGGGAUAACUUCAGGAAACUGGGGCUAAUACCGGAUAGGAGCUCCUGCUGCAUGGUGGGGGUUGGAAAGUUUCGGCGGUUGGGGAUGGACUCGCGGCUUAUCAGCGUGUUGGUGGGGUAGUGGCUUACCAAGGCUUUGACGGGUAGCCGGCCUGAGAGGGUGACCGGCCACACUGGGACUGAGCUACGGCCCAGACUCCUACGGGAGGCAGCAGUGGGGAAUAUUGCACAAUGGGUGGAAGCCUGAUGCAGCAACGCCGUGUGCGGGAUGACGGCCUUCGGGUUGUAAACCGCUUUCGCUCAUGACGAAGCUUUGUGUGACGGUAGUGGGUAAAGAAGCACCGGCUAACUACGUG